This 366-nucleotide ribosomal RNA is filed under the name uncultured eukaryote. Its description in RNAcentral is "partial 18S ribosomal RNA". It matches the Rfam family "Eukaryotic small subunit ribosomal RNA", at positions 592 to 976 of the family's 1831-position model. The record is from RNAcentral.
CGCAAGUGUAUUCCUAUACUGUUGCGUUUAAAUAGCUCGUAGUUGGAUCUGCGUGUUUAGCGCGCGGUGCUGCUUUCUUGCAGCUACUGUGACGCGACACUGUACGCUGACUACAUACUUCGUAAGUACGUAGACAGCAAGUUUACUUUGAACAAAUCAGAGUGCUCAAAACGGGCGUUUCGCUCGAAUGUCCUUGCAUGGAAUAAUAGAAUAGGACCGCGCGUUCUAUUUUGUUGGUUUUCGGGACGCGGGUAAUGAUUAAGAGGGACAGACGGGGGCAUUUGUACUGCGACGUGAGAGGUGAAAUUCUUGGAUCGUCGCAAGACAGACUACUGCGAAAGCAUUUGCCAAGAAUGUUUUCAUUAA